This is a long non-coding RNA of Antechinus flavipes (yellow-footed antechinus), 518 nucleotides long. RefSeq lists it as uncharacterized. The transcript has 3 exons. NCBI's taxonomy places the organism in Eukaryota, Metazoa, Chordata, Mammalia, Dasyuromorphia, Dasyuridae. The record is from RefSeq and is a predicted model, not a curated record.
GCAUGGCAGACAGAAUGGUUGCACAUUCUCAGUAAACUAAACCUUUCAAAAUUUGGAGAGGGCUUUUUGCAGUAAGUAGAAUUAGACCCUCUGACACUAUUCCCAAAACACUAUACUGACAAGGUGCUUCAGUGAUGACUUUUAACACUUUUAUCACUCUCUAUAUUGGGCAUAUCUGAAGAAAUGUCUGCCAAUUUGGUGAACUUUGCAGCAUUUUUGUAGUGUGUGUGCAAAAGAGAUCUACCAUUGUAAAUACAUAUUAUGUAGUGUAAUUCAUGGACUUCAUGGAAAUUUGACAUCAGGAGAAAAAAAAAUACAGAUGAGAAACUGAAGCUAAAAGAGCUUAAAUGACUUACCCAAGAUCACAAAGGAAGCAGUAUUUGAAACCAGCUCUUCUUGACUAAUAUCUGCAACGUCACAUUUUGUACAGAUUUGCUUACAUGCUCCUAUAAGAAAUAAUAACAAUAAUAAUCACUGCUUCCAAAAUACAUUACAGAUGUAUUGCUAUCAAAUAAAUG